GACGAACGCUGGCGGCGUGCUUAACACAUGCAAGUCGAACGGAAAGGCCCCCUUGUGGGGUACUCGAGUGGCGAACGGGUGAGUAACACGUGAGUAACCUACCCUUGACUUUGGGAUAACUUCAGGAAACUGGGGCUAAUACCGGAUAGGAGCUCCUGCUGCAUGGUGGGGGUUGGAAAAUUUCGGCGGUUGGGGAUGGACUCGCGGCUUAUCAGCUUGUUGGUGGGGUAGUGGCUCACCAAGGCUUUGACGGGUAGCCGGCCUGAGAGGGUGACCGGCCACAUUGGGACUGAGAUACGGCCCAGACUCCUACGGGAGGCAGCAGUGGGGAAUAUUGCACAAUGGGCGGAAGCCUGAUGCAGCAACGCCGCGUGCGGGAUGACGGCCUUCGGGUUGUAAACCGCUUUCGCCUGUGACGAAGCGUGAGUGACGGUAAUGGGUAAAGAAGCACCGGCUAACUACGUG
This 465-nucleotide ribosomal RNA is filed under the name uncultured bacterium. Its description in RNAcentral is "partial 16S ribosomal RNA". It matches the Rfam family "Bacterial small subunit ribosomal RNA", at positions 28 to 507 of the family's 1533-position model. The record is from RNAcentral.